This 1645-nucleotide ribosomal RNA is filed under the name Triticum aestivum (bread wheat). RNAcentral describes it as "partial small subunit ribosomal RNA". The record is from RNAcentral. Lineage: Eukaryota; Viridiplantae; Streptophyta; Magnoliopsida; Poales; Poaceae.
GCGGCGGCAGAGCGCAGGCCAAGAGGAGGGGGAAGAGAGAGAAGCGGCUCGAGCGGCGGCGGCGACGAGCGGAGUAGGGGGAGCGCGGAGGUGGGGGAUCGGAGGGGAAGAGGAGGAGGGCAGGAGAGGAGGCGGCGAGCCAGCGGCACGGGCACGACGAGUUGGGGGCGGCGGGGUAGCCGACGAGGCAGCGGCAAGUACCGUAGGCCCUCCGUGCGCCGGCGCGGGGGAGGGUAGCACGGCAGCUCCCCUCCUCGGUCCGCCUCGCGCGGCAGCGGUGGCCGACCGCGCAGCUGCUCUCCUCCGGUCCCAAUCCCACGAGAGGAGCAGCGCGACGCCUAGAGGACCGCGGCGGCCGACGUCCUCGACUUCGAAGAGGAGCGCGGCGGUCGACGGCCCAAGCCUAGAGGAGGUGAAACGUAGCGACCGACUACCUGAUUCUCGAGUAGGUGGAGCGUGGGGCCUCGUGAUGAUGAAGGAGGACGGAGCUACACGAGGAUGGUGGAGGACCAAAAGACUAGAUUGACCGUAACUGAUAUCACUUCGACGUUAACUCGAACGAGCUUUGGAGCGUUAAGAACUACCUAAACUCGUUUAAUUAAAGGACCAACUACUAUAGGACCUCUAUUUCAACCUCUCCCCUAAACUUGAACACUACCUACUUCCUUGAGACCUACGUUAUCCCGAGGUGGGACUACCUGGACAUUUCUCUUACUACAUAACCGUCAGUCACCGAUCGAACCAAAUAGUACCACCGUAUGACCUGGUUCCUACUCGAUCACGUCCUCCACCUCUUGAAGUUGGUCUCUUUCGACCCGGGGCGUCUAAUCCUAAGGUAUUAAACUACAACUCCAAACUGACGGUGGUAACCCCUUUCGGUGAUUGGCUCCACCUAGCCGCUGACGGCAAUCGCGUAGAUAAGACGAUCCUCCACAACGGCAGCUGCUACUCACGGUCUGGUACGCGACUGAGUUCCUGGCGGCAAGGCAACCGGGCAACAAAUCGUACGCGGCAGUGCGCCGUGACGGGGGCCGGUACUUGAUCCCAGCCACCGGCUCGAGCAGCGGCAGGCGGAGCCACCGGGCGAAGGAGCGAACGAAGAAACCCAGGGUUCGUGGACGGUGGCCACCUACUGCUCUAGGCGGUGGUUGGUACAUGGCCCCUCCUCGAGUGGGAGCGCCGGAGAUGUACAGGGGUCACAGAAUACGAAGUUAACCCACGGUUCCUUGUGAACUGGCGACCUCCAACAGUAAAUGGAUCGGACUCAGGACUACUAUGAUGUGGAAAGAAACAUGGGGUAAUUUCCGAUGGUGGUAAGUUGAGUCCAUGCAAAGACACGUAACUCGGCCAGGUAAAAGUCGAUAAUGAGAAUGAAACAAAUGGUCUGUUGCACAACUCGGUCCGUAGCCGCGCGACCCGACUUCGGAAAACAACAAAGGACCUGUUUAAAGAUACAUCACACUACGGAAAACAACAAAGGACCUGUUUAAAGAUACAUGAUACACAUACAUAGCUACGUUACGAACACUAUUUUUGAACUAUAUAAUCUAUCAAUUUGUGUAGAUAUGAUAAGAUAAAAAACGCACCUUAAGAUAAAAAAUAUAAAUGUUACGAAAUUACUGACAUAAUGGUCUAACCUAUAUUG